Molecule: ribosomal RNA, 494 nt
Filed under: uncultured bacterium
Lineage: Bacteria
Description: partial 16S ribosomal RNA
Rfam family: Bacterial small subunit ribosomal RNA
Source: RNAcentral
GACGAACGCUGGCGGCGUGCUUAACACAUGCAAGUCGAACGGAAAGGCCUGCUUUCCCUUGUGGAUUGCGGGUACUCGAGUGGCGAACGGGUGAGUAACACGUGAGUGAUCUGCCCCCAACUUGGGUAUAAGCCUGGGAAACUGGGUCUAAUUCCCGAUAGGACUGCAGGGUGGUGCCUGUGGUGGAAAACGAUUUUCUAGUGGUUGGGGAUGAGCUCGCGGCCUAUCAGCUUGUUGGUGGGGUAAUGGCCUACCAAGGCGGCGACGGGUAGCCGGCCUGAGAGGGUGGACGGGCACAUUGGGACUGAGAUACGGCCCAGACUCCUACGGGAGGCAGCAGUGGGGAAGAGUGGACAAUGGGCGGAAGCCUGAUGCAGCGACGCAGGGUGGGGGAUGACGGCCUUCGGGUUGUAAACUCCUUUCGACCGCGAGGAAGCCACCUGGUUGGAAGGGUGGUGACGGUAGUGGUAGAAGAAGCACCGGCUAACUACGUG